CGGGGUGUAGCUCAGCCUGGUUUAGAGCGCCUGCUUUGGGAGCAGGAAGUCGCUGGUUCGAGUCCAGUCACCCCGA
This 76-nucleotide transfer RNA is filed under the name Deltaproteobacteria bacterium. RNAcentral describes it as "tRNA-Pro". It matches the Rfam family "tRNA". From Rfam's summary of the family: Transfer RNA (tRNA) molecules are approximately 80 nucleotides in length. Their secondary structure includes four short double-helical elements and three loops (D, anti-codon, and T loops). Lineage: Bacteria; Pseudomonadati; Myxococcota; Myxococcia. The record is from RNAcentral.